Salvelinus sp. IW2-2015 is the source of this 192-nucleotide long non-coding RNA. RefSeq lists it as uncharacterized. Lineage: Eukaryota; Metazoa; Chordata; Actinopteri; Salmoniformes; Salmonidae. The record is from RefSeq and is a predicted model, not a curated record.
UCUCUGUCUCUUAGUGCCCCCCUGGUGCCCUCAAGAGUCGCCGCGCUGCCGAAAAUGACCUGGAGCAGCAGGUCCUUGCCUUUAAUCAGUUGGCUUCAGUUGGACAUGCUGGACAGCACGGAAUGAAGGGGGAGAAGGGAGAUCAGUGCAAAGAGGGACGCAUUGGACAGAAGGGAGAAAGGCGAGUCUGUG